CCUACGGGUGGCAGCAGUGAGGAAUAUUGGUCAAUGGCCGCGAGCCUGAACCAGCCAAGCAGCGUGAAGGACGACUGCCCCACGGGUUGUAAACUUCUUUUAUAAAGGAAUAAAGUCAGGCUCGUGUGCCUUUUUGUAUGUACUUUAUGAAUAAGGAUCGGCUAACUCCUUGCCAGCAGCCGCGGUAAUACGGAGGAUCCGAGCGUUAUCCGGAUUUAUUGGGUUUAAAGGGAGCGUAGAUGGGUUGUUAAGUCAGUUGUGAAAGUUUGCGGCUCAACCGUAAAAUUGCCAUUGAUACUGGCAGCCUUGAGAACAGUUGAGGUAUGCGGAAUUCGUGGUGUAGCGGUGAAAUGCUUAGAUAUCGCGAAGAACUCCGAUUGCGAAGGCAGCUUACUAAACUGCCACUGACAUUGAUGCUCGAAAGUGUGGGUAUCAAACAGGAUUAGAUACCCGUGUAGUC
This 460-nucleotide ribosomal RNA is filed under the name uncultured bacterium. RNAcentral describes it as "partial 16S ribosomal RNA". It matches the Rfam family "Bacterial small subunit ribosomal RNA", at positions 338 to 795 of the family's 1533-position model. The record is from RNAcentral.